RNAcentral lists this ribosomal RNA (193 nucleotides) under uncultured bacterium. Its description in RNAcentral is "partial 16S ribosomal RNA". It matches the Rfam family "Bacterial small subunit ribosomal RNA", at positions 335 to 524 of the family's 1533-position model. The record is from RNAcentral.
ACUCCUACGGGAGGCAGCAGUGAGGAAUAUUGGUCAAUGGGCGGUAGCCUGAACCAGCCAAGUAGCGUGCAGGAAGACGGCCCUAUGGGUUGUAAACUGCUUUUGAAGGGGAAUAACGUGCGCCACGCGCUGGUGCAAUGCAUGUACCUUUCGAAUAAGGAUCGGCUAACUCCGUGCCAGCAGCCGCGGUAAU